RNAcentral lists this ribosomal RNA (423 nucleotides) under uncultured bacterium. RNAcentral describes it as "partial 16S ribosomal RNA". It matches the Rfam family "Bacterial small subunit ribosomal RNA", at positions 359 to 774 of the family's 1533-position model. The record is from RNAcentral.
GAAUUUUGGACAUUGGGCGAAAGCCUGAUCCAGCAAUGCCUAGUGCAGGCUGAUGUCUUUCGGGUUGUAAACUGCUUUUGUAUGGAAUGGAAAGCUUUUGGUUAAUUUCCUGGAUUCUUGACGGCAUCGUACGUAUAAGAAUCGGAUCUCUUCGUGCUCGCCGCCGCGGUAAUAGGUAGGGUGCAAGCGUUAAUCGGAAUUACUGGGCGUAAAGCGUGCGCAGGCGGUUUUGUAAGACAGGGGUGAAAUCCCCGGGCUCAACCUGGGAACUGCCUUUGUGACUGCAAGGCUAGAAUACGGCAGAGGGGGGUGGAAUUCCGCGUGUAGCAGUGAAAUGCGUAGAUAUGCGGAGGAACACCGAUGGCGAAGGCAACCCCCUGGGCCUGUACUGACGCUCAUGCACGAAAGCGCGGGGAGCAAACA